RNAcentral lists this ribosomal RNA (433 nucleotides) under uncultured bacterium. RNAcentral describes it as "partial 16S ribosomal RNA". It matches the Rfam family "Bacterial small subunit ribosomal RNA", at positions 29 to 507 of the family's 1533-position model. The record is from RNAcentral.
AACGAACGCUGGCGGCAGGCCUAACACAUGCAAGUCGAGCGAGGACUUCGGUCCUAGCGGCGGACGGGUGAGUAACGCGUGGGGACGUGCCCUUUGCUUCGGAAUAGCCCUGGGAAACUGGGAGUAAUACCGGAUGAGCCCUUUGGGGGAAAGAUUUAUCGGCGAAGGAUCGGCCCGCGUUGGAUUAGGUAGUUGGUGGGGUAAUGGCCUACCAAGCCGACGAUCCAUAGCUGGUUUGAGAGGAUGAUCAGCCACACUGGGACUGAGACACGGCCCAGACUCCUACGGGAGGCAGCAGUGGGGAAUCUUAGACAAUGGGGGAAACCCUGAUCUAGCCAUGCCGCGUGAGCGAUGAAGGCCUUAGGGUUGUAAAGCUCUUUCAGCUGGGAAGAUAAUGACGGUACCAGCAGAAGAAGCCCCGGCUAACUCCGUG